Molecule: small nuclear RNA, 107 nt
Organism: Myotis myotis
Lineage: Eukaryota; Metazoa; Chordata; Mammalia; Chiroptera; Vespertilionidae
Source: RefSeq, a predicted model, not a curated record
GUGCUCGCUUCGGUAACACAUAUACUAAAAUUGUAAAAAUACAGAGAAGAAUAGCAUGGCUCCUGUGCAAGGAUGACACACAAACUCAUGAAGCGUUCCAUAUUUUC